Molecule: long non-coding RNA, 768 nt
Organism: Passer montanus (Eurasian tree sparrow)
Lineage: Eukaryota; Metazoa; Chordata; Aves; Passeriformes; Passeridae
Exons: 3
Source: RefSeq, a predicted model, not a curated record
UAUUAUUGAGAACCAGCAUAAAAACUGAGGAUAAGAUAAACAGCAGCAAUGGAUCCAGUCGUAAUGUGGUCAGGUAGCAGGAAGCACAUUUAUCCUUCGAGCAGUACAAGAGAAGGAGGAGGAGGACUGAGGCAUUUGUCUUGGCAGGAGGCCCAUGAGAAAGUGAAGAGCCAAUGAAAGGUCUGAGGUGAGAUGGAAGACUGAGGAGAGAGAGCUGUCCUGUGAAGAUGCUCGUUUUUGAAUUAGUUAGACCAAGAAAUGGAGGCAAAGCAUUUUGCUUACCUGGUCCAAACACAGAAGAAGGAAUAUUUAAAAGGACAUGAGGAGGGCAGACUCUCACAGGCAAAUCUUACCUUUUUCUCUGGAGCAAUAAAAACUGCCGUAGAAAGAAGACUUUGGAAGUAAGUAAAGAGGAAACCAGACUCACAGGGAGGAAAGAAGAGGCAAGCAGGAAGAUGCCAAUAAAGGCAGACAAGACAGAAAAUGGAGGCAGAAGGAAAAGUUUGCACAUACUCAAGGGGUUCCACUGCUUUUCUGUGAUACUAAUGCCUCACUAGACCCAUAAGGAUUUUUGAAAUACACAAAAUAAAGAAACCGUGAUAGGAGAAGAACAAUUAAGGACAAAAAUGAGAAAAAAAUUACAGGAAUAAUUCUGCCUCAUUAGAGGUAUGAUAAUAAACAAUGAUAUGUAUUUCUGGUGAUAAUGAUCCUGAAGUUCACUCUCUCCACUUAUUCCAACUCUCCCCACAAUACCACUACUGUCUAAUA